RNAcentral lists this ribosomal RNA (463 nucleotides) under Engaeus sericatus. RNAcentral describes it as "partial large subunit ribosomal RNA". It matches the Rfam family "Archaeal large subunit ribosomal RNA", at positions 2007 to 2670 of the family's 2987-position model. The record is from RNAcentral. Lineage: Eukaryota; Metazoa; Arthropoda; Malacostraca; Decapoda; Parastacidae.
GCCGCGGUAUUUUGACCGUGCGAAGGUAGCAUAAUCAUUAGUCUUUUAAUUGAAGGCUUGUAUGAAGGGUUGGACGAGAAAUAAGCUGUCUUUAUUGGAAAAAUAGAAUUUAACUUUUAAGUGAGAGGGCUUAAAUGUUCUAAGGGGACGAUAAGACCCUAUAAAGUUUGACAUUUUAUUCAUUAAAAAAUAAAAUAAUUAAUUAAUUUUUAUUAGCGGGGAUAAUGUUUUGUUGGGGCGAUUAGAAUAUAAAAAAUUUAACUGUUUUAUAUUAAUACAAAGUUGUUUGAGUGUUUUGAUCCUUAAUAAAGGUAUUAGAGUAAAUUACUUUAGGGAUAACAGCGUAAUUUUUUUUGAGAGUUCUUAUCGACAAAAAAGUUUGCGACCUCGAUGUUGAAUUAAAGAAUUCUUUAUAGCGCAGAAGUUAUAAAAGAAGGUCUGUUCGACCUUUAAAUCUUUACAU